ACAUUUAUUAUGGAUUACUAAGCUUUUCAUUCUCUGCUCAUGCUCUGGUCCCACCUGUAUCCGUCAGACUCUUGUUCAACUACAACUCUCCUCAGCAGGACAUAAGACAUAGCUAAAGGUUCUUCUUUAGAGAAACCUGAAACUUGUUGGGUGUAAUUUGUGUAAAUCGCCACCAGCUGGCAGUAGAUUUUUAAUUGACUUAAGGGCAAAUGUAAUUAAAAAUCGCAAGCAGCGUUUUUGCAAACGUUUCGGCUGCUCACAAUAUAAACUCAUUCGCUGGCGAAUACUACAUGGAUAAGCAAAGGUUUAGCGUUAACACCUACUCUACAGUUUCACUAAAUAUUUCGUAGCAAAACACAGUUUGCGAUUGCGGAAUUUUAUUGCACUACGAAUGUUCGCAUAAAAGCCACUGGGUCGCCAACUUUGCGAGGAAGUUGUUGAGGUCUGUGAUCUGUCAAUCAAAUACAAGCUCAAGACGUUAAUUGUGUGCAGGUGAAUUUCCAUGGUUUGAGGCUGAUCAAAAAGUAAGAAGCAGCAGGCCGGAUACUUCAGACAUUCCAGAUACAAUCAGCCUUGAGCACAAGGACACAAGUUUACGCUUCUCACCGCAGCCAGACGCGUGAUACAAAAGCCACAACAAGGAAACGAAUUACGAUUGUUUUUGAAGUUUUUUUUAUUUAAUAAAUAACUUUCCGUUAACAGUAUUGUAAAAAGUGAAAACCUGCUAAAAUAAAAAGGCACUUAAAAAAACAAGAUUGUGACAAAUAUGGGACAGAGGCCAUGGAAAUAGUCGGCGAGUGAUCUACUGAAUGGCCCGAUGUUACAGCAAUGUCUUUGCUGAAAGGCUUUACAUGACAAUGCUGUGGUGUAAGUUCAACCAGGGCACAAACUGAAUGUAAACGGCAGAUUGCCGAUGUACAUAAACCGACAGCAGAACAAAAGGAUUAAAGGGGAACUAAGGCAAAAACGAAAAUUUAAUAUGAGCUUCGUCAUACUGAAAUAAGAAGUUUUAUAUAUACAAUCUAUGAUAUAUUCUGUACUGUUUCUGAAAUAAUCAAGUUUAUCUUCACUAUUCCUCUCUCAGCAUCUGUUUCUCUUCAUUCUCGAGUUGGGUGUCAGAUGAAUGAUCCAAUAUAUCUUAUUCGGGAGCGCCACAUUAAUUGCUCACUAGGCUCGGUGGCCCGGUUCUGGCCCACGGCCCCACGGUUGGGGACCCCUGUAUUAGAGCUCACUCAAAUAACUGAUUCCAUUACAAACAAAAUCUAAUAAAAUAACUGUCUUUUCCACAAACUCUGCAUGUAGAGAGACAUAAUGUCUGGUGAUUUGAAUAGAGUGAGCUCUAAUACAUCUUCUAGGCAAAAGGAACCCCCCUAUAAGAUAUAUUGGAUCAUUCAUCUGACACCCAACUGCUGCAUGAAGACAAAAUGAAGAGAAACAGAUGCUGAGAGAGGAAUAGUGACGAUAAACUUGAUUAUUUCAGAAACUAUGUGGAAUAUUUAAUUGAUUGUAUUUAGAAAAAAUUCUUAUUUCAGUAUGUUGAAGCUUAUAUUGAGGGUCAGAUUUGUUUGGUCAAAACUCCGAAGACGAUUUGAGUUUUAAUUUGAAUUCAGAGAUUUAUCAUACUCUGGCCCUUUAAGAACUUGAAUUCAACUAUUCGCCUACUAAAACCUGACAAAUUAUUGUAUAAGUCAAUAGGACAGGUCCAUGGAUCAAUUUGGUGAUGUGUGCAGCCUUCCUGGCAUUCCAGUUUUUUUCUGAUAAAAAAAAUAAAAAAAACUUGAAUUGAGUUUUUACAUUUGAAUCGAGUUUUUCUGAUUCGAUUUUAGUUUUCGGGUCGAUUCAAUUCUUCCGAACCAAGAAAAUUGCAUUUUAUUUAAACGUUUUGAUUGGUCGAAUUUAUGGAAGUAAAAUAAAAAAAACAAAAACUCGCAUGAAUUCGAAAUUCGACCCUUGAUAAAUGUGCCUCCAAAUGUUUAUUUUCGUGAUAGUUCCCUUUAAUGAAAAAAAAGAAAAAAAAAAGGAAGCACCAGAUUUCCGAAGUACAUACACAUAAUCGGUCGUAAGGAGAUUUAAGGCCAUGUGAGGAGGUGAUUUUUGGCAAGAUACAGAAGUCAGGCAGCAAAACGAUAUCGAGCUGGAAUUUAGCAUCUAAGAAGCAAGCUCACGGCCCAUCUAUUUAUUAUGUACAUUAUUUAUAAAAUACUUUGCCUUUUCUUACUUACUCACACCUGCUUUGUCUUUGCCCAAAGACACAUAGAGACCUGCUGAUCACGCAGAGAGAAAGUCUCACGUAUGCGAUGUUACUCGCGUGUAAAUUCCAGCCCUGAUCGUCCAAUGGUGAAAGGAAUAAGAAUAAUAACAAUAAUACUCUGAUUGGCAAAGCUCUUAGCGAUCAAACCUUCUCCUUGCAGACGGACUCGCAAUAACGCACACAAGCACGCGCACAAUUAAACAAAAGAAAAAAAAAUUACACCAAGAGGAAAACGUUUUUUUUUUUUUUUUU
Xenopus laevis (African clawed frog) is the source of this 2503-nucleotide long non-coding RNA. RefSeq lists it as uncharacterized. The transcript is spliced from 2 exons. Lineage: Eukaryota; Metazoa; Chordata; Amphibia; Anura; Pipidae. The record is from RefSeq and is a predicted model, not a curated record.